Long non-coding RNA from Asparagus officinalis (garden asparagus), 1711 nucleotides. RefSeq lists it as uncharacterized. NCBI's taxonomy places the organism in Eukaryota, Viridiplantae, Streptophyta, Magnoliopsida, Asparagales, Asparagaceae. The transcript has 6 exons. The record is from RefSeq and is a predicted model, not a curated record.
AAAAUUGUGUGUUCGGUAUAGAUGAUAUUCACCGAAUUACCGGAUUGCCAAAGGAGGGAAUUCCGAUAAAAAUGAGUGGGGCAGCGGCUAAUACAAUCUACACCUAUUUUGUAAAGAAUUAUAAGAAAGCCGAUGAGGAAAAGAAGGCGGUGAUUUCGGGGAAGCGCGAUAGAAUGGCCGAGAUGAUUGUAGAUAUGAUUAAUGAAGACCCUAUAAUAUGUGUGAAACUUAUUGUGGCUUUCAUUAUCGGCUUCAUAUUAUGCCCGCGGACAUGUAAGACAUGUCCCUUGUGGGCGUUUAGAUAUGCGGAGCAGUUAUCAACUUUGCAUAAAUAUAAUUGGUGCCAUGCGGUGUUCACUCUUCUUUGCAAAGAGAUGAGUAAAUCAAAGAAGUCUCUUAGUAUGCGGGAAUUAGGUCAGCGCUCAAAUGCCGGGUACAUGGGUGGUUUUUCCUCCGUUUUACUGGUGAGUUACAUGAACAUUAUUUUGUAUAUCUUUUCAUUUUGAUAAUGAUUAUUGUUUAUGCACAUGCUAAUGUGUAGUUUCUUUUUUGUAGGUUUGGUUUUAUGAAAAAGUAGGGGAAUUAGAGUACACUUCAGAUAUUGAAAGGUUACCGCCGCUCUUUUGUGUGAAGAGUACUGGAAAGUGGAGGAGGACUACUAUGAACAAAUUAUAUAGAGUCCCGAAGUUGGUUACGGAUAAUGGCCAAGAGAAUACUCCUCUUAUUCAUACGGCAUCGCCAAUAGUAUUUGAAUCAAGGAAAGCUGAAUUAAUUUUCUUAAUUGCGGAGAAGACGUACGAGUUGAAUGAGCUCACUACAGAAUUACGAGAAUUAGAAGAGCGUAGUGCUAGAUGCCAAAAAAAACCAAGGAGAAAGAGGAUGACGGAAAUGUAACUGAAGAAAAAAAAAUCAAAGAGGAUAUGGAAGCUAAGGAAUAUGAGAAUUUGGAAGGAACUGGGGAAGCCGAUUUAUGUGAUGACUUUGUGAUGAGCGCAAGAGACGUGAGAAUUUUAGAAGAUGCUCGAGAUGUUUCUCAAAAAGAUGAAGGUGGUAAUGAGAAUAACAGAGAAACGCCAUCUAUCAAACGGGCUGUCGGAAAGAGGGAGAGGAAGGAUGGACCCUCUGUUACUUCACCUUAUAUGCCUCUAGAUCAACCAAAGGAAGGCACAAAGAAGAGACGUGUCAUCCAGAUAUUGGAUAGUCCUGAUGGGAAAAAAAAGUACAAAAAUGAAGAAGGCUUCAUACCUACAUCUAGAGACUAUCCAGGUAAGGCACUGGCGUUUGAUUAUGAGAACAAAUUAAUUGAAGACUUUCUACAAUCGAGAAUGAACAGUGAUACGUACAUUUGAAAGUGUGCCGAAGCAAGCGUAUCCCGCUUAGAUGCUUAUAUACUAUUAACGGGAGGUGAACUCAGUGACGAUGUGAUCGAUGCAUUUGUUAUUCGGCUUUGUAACAAGAUUGAAACAAGUGAUAGUUAUGAUCGAAAGAUACAUGUCACAAGACCUUGGCUUGCACAAGCAUUUCUAGAAGGAAAUCUUGAAAUGGUGGCAAAACGAAUGAAGGAAAAUGUUUCUCAGCAGAAGUUCUUGGAGUGUGAAAGAAUUCUGAUCCCGAUUGUCAGCUCCGGACAUUGGCACCUGGUAGAGUUAGUGAGAGAGGAGACAAAAUUCUAUCACUACUCCUCAAUCAACUCCCCCAUUUAUACCGCCGA